GGAGUCGUCAACCAGGCUUUGAUCCGGGGGGUUUCCGAAUGGGGGAAACCCCGGCAGUCGUCAUGGGCUGUCACCCGCUGCUGAACACAUAGGCAGUGUGGAGGGAACGCGGGGAAGUGAAACAUCUCAGUACCCGCAGGAAGAGAAAACAACCGUGAUUCCGGGAGUAGUGGCGAGCGAAACCGGAUGAGGCCAAACCGUAUGCGUGUGACGACCCGGCGAGGGGUUGCGUAGUACGGGGUUGUGGGAUC
RNAcentral lists this non-coding RNA (251 nucleotides) under Streptomyces afghaniensis 772. RNAcentral describes it as "Bacterial large subunit ribosomal RNA". It matches the Rfam family "Bacterial large subunit ribosomal RNA", at positions 82 to 307 of the family's 2925-position model. The record is from Rfam by way of RNAcentral. Lineage: Bacteria; Bacillati; Actinomycetota; Actinomycetes; Kitasatosporales; Streptomycetaceae.